Molecule: long non-coding RNA, 3401 nt
Filed under: Nicotiana tabacum (common tobacco)
Lineage: Eukaryota; Viridiplantae; Streptophyta; Magnoliopsida; Solanales; Solanaceae
Description: long non-coding RNA (NTAB_LNC015939)
Source: RNAcentral
GGUAGUGUAACCGUAUUUCAUUUUAGGAGGUGUAGUUUUUUCUUUUGAGGUGUUGUUCCCCAGAGAAAAUUUUGUUGGUAGCGAUUGAGUUGGGAGAGAAUAUUGUUGGGGAUUGUUAUAUAUUACAUGACAUGAUUGGGUAGGUGGUUGAGGGUAGAACGGAUUAGAGUGGUACGUCCUGCCUUAGUCAAGAAUUUUGUUUUCCACUCUGCAAGUCUAUUUUUGAAGUUAUCCAAUAGGAAUUGGAAAUCUGAUUUUGAGGGUUGCUUAACAAAUAUGGGGAACCCUAAAUAUUUUCCAAAAGUUUUCCCUUCGUGCAUAUGAAAAAGGUGUAACACUGAGGGUUUAGUGGUGGUUGAGCAAUUUUUUGAGAAAAAGAUUUUGGAUUUGUGAAAAUUAAUAUUUUGUCCUGAGUGAGCUGUAAAAUGAUUGAGAGUGUCAAUUAUGGAGUUGCAGGUAAGAGGUGUAAUUUUUGCAGUGAGAAUAAUAUCAUACGCAAAGAAUAGAUGGGAUAUUAACGGGCAUCUACUAGCCAAGGAUAUGGAUUGCCAAGAGCGAUAGUCCACCGCCGUAUUUAUACUUCGGGAGAGCAUUUCCAGACAGAGGAUGAAUAGGUAUGGUGAUAGUGGAUCCCCUUGACGGAUGUCUCACGAUGGUUUAAAAUAGUUAGUAGGGUUGCCGUUGAUUAGGAUCGGGGUGGAGGUGGUUGUGACACAAGACAUAAUGAGUUUGAUAAAAUUUGGAGGAAACUUUAGUGAAACUAAGGUAUGUUGUAUGAAUGACCAUUCUAGUUUAUCAAAAGCUUUCUCAAGAUCUAAUUUGAGAAGCAUAUGUGGAGUGUUCCCUUUCAUUUUACGGAAACGAGACAUUAGUUCUUGAACAAUAAUUGCAUUAUCUGCAUCUCGUCUAUUUUUCUGAAAACUGGAUUGGGUGGGAUUUAUAAGAUGUUGCAGAAUCGGUUUAGUCGAUUGACAAUAAUUUUUAUAAUAAAUUUAUAAAUAGUAUUACAAAGGCUUAUUAAAUUGUGACAUAGAAGAAGCAUGUUUGUGUUUGGGAAUUAAGCAAAUGAGAGUGUUGUUUAUAGAAGGUUCGAUCCUAUGAUCAUUAAAGAUUUUGUGGCAAAAAUAUUUGAUUGAAGUGUCGAUAGUGUUCCAAUAUUUUUGGGAGAAGUAUGGGUGUAGCCCAUCUAGGCCAGGUGCUUUUAAGGGUUUGAAAGAGUGUUAUGCAUCUAAAAUCUCCUUGUCUUGAAGUGGGCUAUCCAGAGAAAUUUGAUUGGCCGGAGUUAAUACAUUAGAAGGGUGCAUGUGGUUUUGUCUAUAGUUAAUAAUUGAUUUUGUGGUAAAGAUAAUUUGAUAAUAAUUGGUAAUAUGAUUUUUAAUGUGGUGGGGAUCAGUUAUCCAAUUUCCACCUAGGUCUUGUAUAGCCGUGAUACAAUUAUGGCGUCUACGAUUUAAAGUGGAGAGAUGAAAACAUUUUGUGUUUGCAUCUCCUUCAUUUAAUCAGUUUAUACGCGAUUUAAUUUUCAAAAGUCUUCUUCUUGCUUAAGGAGGUGUUUAAAGUCGAAUAAUAACUAACGUUCCAACUCUUGGAGGAAUAUGCUAGUGGGAUAAUUGAUGGAGGAUUGGAUGCCCGCCAGACGAGCUAAGAGUCUUUUUUUUUUUUACAUUUGAAUAUGUUUCCAAAAGUGGUUUUGUUCCAUUCUUGGACUGUUUCAGUAAAUUGUGCAAUAGCUGAUAGUAGAUGGGGUGGGCUUGCCAAGCUUGUUGAACUAUUGCGGGAGAAGUUGGGUGAGAGGCCCAAAUUAUUUCAAAUCUGAAGAGCUUUUGGCGAGGUAAAGGACGGUAGUUCAGUUGAAGUAAUAGUGGGCAAUGGUCGGAAUGUGUAUGGGGAGGUGUGUAACUAGUGCAUCAGGUUAGUGAUUUAUCCAAUCAUAAUUUGCGAGGAAACGAUCUAUACGUUCUAGAAUAUUAUGUCUAUUGGAACGACUGUUAGUCCAAGUAUAACGGCUGCCUUUGUAACCUAGGUCACUUAGGUGGCAAUAAUUAAUGCAGUCAAGGAAUUUAUUUGAGCGAGAAAUAUUUAUUGUUCUUCCCCCAAAUUUGUCGGAUGCAUGAGUUAUUUCAUUAAAGUCCCCUCCUAUUAGCCAUGGCCCCUUAUAAUUAUCAUAUAGGCACAUGAGAUUUUCCCAAAGAAGUUGUUUAUUUAAAGAUUUUGUGCUAGCAUAUAUGACAGUAAAUAAUCAUUUGUAAGGGAGGGGAUUUACCUGAAUUUUACAAUGAAUCUCUUGAUGGGGGUUUACCUGAAUUUUACAAUGCCACAAAAUUGCAAUUCCUCCAGAUUGUCCCACAGCGGCCACCUCAGCCAUUCCCGUAAAGUGAAAGUCCUCUUUCAAGGUUUGGUGCUCAACACGGUGUGUUUCAAGUAAAGCGACUAAAGAUGGAGGAUGAUAAUCAAGUGGAGAGUGAAAAUUACGUCUAAAUUCAGGAGAUUGAGCUCCUCUACAGUUCCAUAUGAUGAAAUUCAUAUAAUUAUUGGAUUGAUUAGGCAGUUGGCUGCCCUGCAUGUCCUCCUGGGUGUUGUUGUGCUCCCCUGGGCGUAGAUGGAGUGUGGGAAUCAGUAGUAUUGCAUACUUUCCCACCUCUGGAUUUGUUGUAGGUCGUAUGCGGAGGGAGCAUCGUAGGAGGUUUGGAGGGCAAUUUAGAUGUAUUUUUCUUGCGUACUCCUCCUUCUGGACAAAGACUUUGAUGCCGUCGAGCCAAGCUAAGACUGGGCGUGUUUCCCUGUUGUAGGUCAUCAUUGCUGCCACUUCUUGUUGAAAAUCGUCGUUUUAUGCGGUGAGAUUGUGAGGAGGUGGCGGGGUUUGUGGUGGGGAUUGGGUAGGCGAGGUCAGUGGUUCCAUUAGUGUGACUGGUGGAGCUGGUAGAAAGUAUGGUUGUAUCCAAGGUGUUGAGGGGGUUAGUUGUGUUGGCGGGUAGAAUGGCAUUUGAAUGAUAUUGGGAUAUAGGUGGGUUGUGUCCCAGGUUGGCGUUGGUGGAUUUAGAGGUUGGUAGGGUGCUAGAUAUGGGGCUUGCAUCAUAAACCAAUGGUACCUGCCAUAGAUGUCUGUCCCUAAUCGCAUCCCCUCCGUGAUUAUUUGAGCAAGGUACAUCGGGCUGUUGAUGAGAAUUGUUACUUCUUGAUUGUUUACUUCCAUGGUGAAGGUGAGAGCAUGGUUUUGGAGUCCCACUUCCAACCAAGAUGUUGGGUUGGUCAUUGCAUGGGGUGUUUAGGCUAGGAAUAUUCUGGUAUUUGAGUUGUGGAGGAGGAGUUGAGUGUGAGGUUCGUUGAUUCACUAGUCUGUGAGUAGUGUUCCUGUUGUGGUAGUUGGUUCUUCUGUGUGGCUGGGGAAAUUGAGUGGGAUA